Molecule: transfer RNA, 76 nt
Filed under: Blautia hydrogenotrophica
Lineage: Bacteria; Bacillati; Bacillota; Clostridia; Lachnospirales; Lachnospiraceae
Also listed under: 2 other names
Description: tRNA-Pro(tgg)
Rfam family: tRNA
About the family: Transfer RNA (tRNA) molecules are approximately 80 nucleotides in length. Their secondary structure includes four short double-helical elements and three loops (D, anti-codon, and T loops).
Source: RNAcentral
CCGGGAUGUAGCGUAGUUUGGUAACGCGCCUAAUUUGGGAUUAGGAGAUCGUCGGUUCAAAUCCGGCCAUUCCGGU